RNAcentral lists this non-coding RNA (152 nucleotides) under Clostridium cellulovorans. RNAcentral describes it as "GlcN6P sequence". It matches the Rfam family "glmS glucosamine-6-phosphate activated ribozyme aptamer". Rfam says of the family: This entry contains a glucosamine-6-phosphate activated ribozyme that is found in the mRNA for GlmS. GlmS is an enzyme that uses fructose-6-phosphate and glutamine to generate glucosamine-6-phosphate. The record is from RNAcentral. Lineage: Bacteria; Bacillati; Bacillota; Clostridia; Eubacteriales; Clostridiaceae. RNAcentral also lists the same sequence under 1 other name.
AAAAGUAGAAAAGCGCCAGAGCUAUAAGAAAAGUAGCUGACGAGGACAGGGAGUAUCGAGAAUUCGGCGGAUGCCCUGCGGUAUGACAUUGCCGAGAACCAUUGACAAAGGUAAGAAGUGAUUCUUAUUACAAAAACAAUGUGGUGUCUUGC